GACGAACGCUGGCGGCGUGCUUAACACAUGCAAGUCGAACGAUGAUGCUGGAGCUUGCUCCAGUUGAUUAGUGGCGAACGGGUGAGUAACACGUGAGCAAUCCGCCCUUGACUCUGGGAUAACUGCGGGAAACUGUAGCUAAUACCGGAUACUUUCACCGGGGGGCAUCCUCUGGUGAUGAAAGAAUUUCGGUCAAGGAUGAGCUCGCGGCCUAUCAGCUUGUUGGUGAGGUAACGGCUCACCAAGGCGACGACGGGUAACCGGCCUGAGAGGGUGAACGGUCACACUGGGACUGAGACACGGCCCAGACUCCUACGGGAGGCAGCAGUGGGGAAUAUUGCACAAUGGGCGCAAGCCUGAUGCAGCAACGCCGCGUGAGGGAUGAAGGCCUUCGGGUUAUAAACCUCUUUUAGCAGGGAAGAAGCGAAAGUGACGGUACCUGCAGAAAAAGCACCGGCUAACUACGUGCCAGCCGCCGCAGUAA
RNAcentral lists this ribosomal RNA (484 nucleotides) under uncultured bacterium. RNAcentral's name for it is "partial 16S ribosomal RNA". It matches the Rfam family "Bacterial small subunit ribosomal RNA", at positions 28 to 523 of the family's 1533-position model. The record is from RNAcentral.